UGGGGAAUUUUGGACAAUGGGCGAAAGCCUGAUCCAGCAAUGCCGCGUGUGUGAAGAAGGCCUUCGGGUUGUAAAGCACUUUUGUCCGGAAAGAAAUCCUUGGUUCUAAUACAGUCGGGGGAUGACGGUACCGGAAGAAUAAGCACCGGCUAACUACGUGCCAGCAGCCGCGGUAAUACGUAGGGUGCAAGCGUUAAUCGGAAUUACUGGGCGUAAAGCGUGCGCAGGCGGUUUGCUAAGACCGAUGUGAAAUCCCCGGGCUCAACCUGGGAACUGCAUUGGUGACUGGCAGGCUAGAGUAUGGCAGAGGGGGGUAGAAUUCCACGUGUAGCAGUGAAAUGCGUAGAGAUGUGGAGGAAUACCGAUGGCGAAGGCAGCCCCCUGGGCCAAUACUGACGCUCAUGCACGAAAGCGUGGGGAGCAAACAGGAUUAGAUACCCUGGUAGUCCACGCCCUAAAACGAUGUCAACUAGUUGUUGGGGAUUCAUUUCCUUAGUAACGUAGCUAACGCGUGAAGUUGACCGCCUGGGGAGUACGGUCGC
This 542-nucleotide ribosomal RNA is filed under the name uncultured bacterium. Its description in RNAcentral is "partial 16S ribosomal RNA". It matches the Rfam family "Bacterial small subunit ribosomal RNA", at positions 355 to 889 of the family's 1533-position model. The record is from RNAcentral.